AGAGUUUGAUCCUGGCUCAGAUUGAACGCUGGCGGCGUGCUUAACACAUGCAAGUCGUGCGAGAAAGGGGGCUUCGGUCCCUGAGUAGAGCGGCGCACGGGUGAGUAACGCGUGGAUAAUCUCCCCAGAAGUUCGGGAUAACGGCGGGAAACUGCCGCUAAUACCGGAUACGCUCCAAUUUCGGUUGGGGGAAAGGCGGCCUCUGUUUACAAGCUGUCGCUUCUGGAUGAGUCCGCGUCCCAUUAGCUUGUUGGUGGGGUAAUGGCCUACCAAGGCUACGAUGGGUAGCUGGUCUGAGAGGAUGAUCAGCCACACUGGAACUGAAACACGGUCCAGACUCCUACGGGAGGCAGCAGUGGGGAAUAUUGCGCAAUGGGGGAAACCCUGACGCAGCGACGCCGUGUGAGGGAUGAAGGCUUUCGGG
This 424-nucleotide ribosomal RNA is filed under the name uncultured bacterium. Its description in RNAcentral is "bacterial SSU rRNA". It matches the Rfam family "Bacterial small subunit ribosomal RNA", at positions 8 to 422 of the family's 1533-position model. The record is from RNAcentral.